This 2034-nucleotide ribosomal RNA is filed under the name Triticum aestivum (bread wheat). RNAcentral describes it as "partial small subunit ribosomal RNA". The record is from RNAcentral. Lineage: Eukaryota; Viridiplantae; Streptophyta; Magnoliopsida; Poales; Poaceae.
AUGAGGGCGCCGCCGCUCUCCCUCCUUCCUCUCCUGGUCGCCGCCGCCUUCCUGUCCCCGUCCCCCUCGAUCGCCACAGACAAGCUCGACCAGACCGCGUCCAUCGCCGGCAACCAGACGCUCGAGUCGGCCGGCGGGGUGUUCAGGCUCGGCUUCUUCGUCCCGCCCGGCAGCUCCGACGGCAGGGCCUACCUCGGCAUCUGGUACGCCACCAUCCCGGAGCAGACGGUCGUGUGGGUCGCCAAUCGCCUGAACCCGGUCGUCAGACCUCCCGGCGUCCUCACUCUCUCCGCCGACGGCCGGCUUGUGAUCCUCGACGGCCGUAACGCCACCGUGUGGUCAUCCGACGACGCGGCCGGCUCGGGCGGCGUAGCCACCCGCGCCACCGCGCAGCUGCUCGACAACGGCGACCUGGUCGUGAGCCACGGCGGGGAGAGUCAAAGUGGAUCGACGGCUCGGACCAGCGUGGCGUGGGAGAGCUUCGACUACCCGACGGACACGCUGCUCCCCGGCAUGAAGCUCGGGGUGGACGGCACGAGCGGCAUCUCCAGGAACAUCACGUCGUGGCGCAGCGCGGCCGACCCCUCGCCGGGGGCCUACACGUUCAAGCUCGUCAGCGGUGGGCUGCCAGAGUUCUUCCUCUUCCGGGGCAUGUCCAAGACGUACGCCAGCGGGCCGUGGAACGGCGCGGAGCUCACCGGCGUGCCCAACCUCAAGUCCAGGGACUUCAUCGUCCAGGUCAUAUCCAACCCCGACGAGACCUACUACACCUACUACGUCAGCGACCCGUCGGUGCUGUCGCGCUUCGUGCUGAACGGCACGACGGGGCAGGUGCAGCGCUUCUCGUGGCACCUCGGCGGCGGCUGGAGCAGCUUCUGGCACUUCCCGCUCGACCCGUGCGACAGCUACGCCAGGUGCGGGGCGUUCGGGUACUGCGACGUCGGCCAGUCCCCGCUGUGCAGCUGCCUGCCGGGGUUCCGGCCGCGGUCGCCGCAGCGGUGGAGCGUCGGGGACGGCUCCGACGGCUGUGUCAGGACGACCAACCUGAGCUGCGGGGAUGGAGACGGGUUCUGGACAGUGAGCCGUAUGAAGCUACCGGAGGCGACCAGCGCGACGGUGCACGCCGGCCUGACGCUGGACCGGUGCAGGCAGCUUUGCCUCGGCAACUGCAGCUGCAGGGCGUACGCGGCGGCGGACAUCAGCGGGGGCAUCAACCGCGGGUGCGUCAUUUGGGCCGUGGAUCUGAUCGACAUGCGGCAGUACUCGGAGGUCGUGCAGGACGUGUACAUCCGACUCGCGCAGUCCGAGGUUGAUGCCUUGACCGCUGCAGCUAACCGCCGGAGUCAUGUCGUGGUUGUGAUCGCCGUCAUGGCGAGUAUCUCCGGCGUGCUUCUUCUGGGUGCCUUUGCCUUUGGCUGUCUCUGUUUCUGGAGAAACAGGGCGGCGCCGGCCGGCAGUCGGGACAACGAGCUUCCAUUGCAGGCCAUAAAACUUAAACGCCCACGGGACGAUCAGCGGUUCUCCAACGAGAACAAGAUGAGCGGCGAAGAAGAUGAUCUUGACCUCCGGCUGUUCGAUCUAGCAGUGAUUCUGGCCGCCACGGACAACUUCGCCGCCGACAGUAAGAUUGGACAAGGUGGAUUUGGCCCUGUCUAUCUGGGAAGGCUUGAGGAUGGGCAGGAAGUGGCUGUGAAGAGGCUGUCAAGGAAAUCAGCACAGGGGGUGGAGGAAUUCAAGAACGAGGUGAAGCUCAUAGCCAAGCUCCAGCACAGGAACCUGGUGAGGCUGCUCGGCUGCUGCACUGACGGCGACGAGAGGAUGCUCGUCUACGAGUUCAUGCACAACAACAGCCUCGACACCUUCAUAUUUGGUGAUGAAGAAAAGCGCAAGUUACUAAGAUGGAAAACACGCUUCGAGAUCAUCGCAGGAAUCGCACGGGGGCUGCUCUAUCUCCACGAGGAUUCAAGGCUCCGGAUCAUCCACAGGGAUAUGAAGGCAAGCAACGUGCUGUUGGACAAAAACAUGAUCCCCUAA